ACGCACGCUGGCGGCGUGCUUAACCCCUGCCAGUCGAACGGAAAGGCCCUGCUUUUGUGGGGUGCUCGAGUGGCGAACGGGUGAGUAACACGUGAGUAACCUGCCCUUGACUUUGGGAUAACUUCAGGAAACUGGGGCUAAUACCGGAUAGGAGCUCCUGCUGCAUGGUGGGGGUUGGAAAGUUUCGGCGGUUGGGGAUGGACUCGCGGCUUAUCAGCUUGUUGGUGGGGUAGUGGCUUACCAAGGCUUUGACGGGUAGCCGGCCUGAGAGGGUGACCGGCCACAUUGGGACUGAGAUACGGCCCAGACUCCUACGGGAGGCAGCAGCGGGGAAUAUUGCACAAUGGGCGGAAGCCUGAUGCAGCAACGCCGCGUGCGGGAUGACGGCCUUCGGGUUGUAAACCGCUUUCGCCUGUGACGAAGCGUGAGUGACGGUAAUGGGUAAAGAAGCACCGGCUAACUACGUG
RNAcentral lists this ribosomal RNA (467 nucleotides) under uncultured bacterium. RNAcentral's name for it is "partial 16S ribosomal RNA". It matches the Rfam family "Bacterial small subunit ribosomal RNA", at positions 29 to 507 of the family's 1533-position model. The record is from RNAcentral.